UCUGGAAGGCACAUGAGUCCGAAC
This 24-nucleotide small RNA is filed under the name Arabidopsis thaliana (thale cress). Its description in RNAcentral is "nad2". Lineage: Eukaryota; Viridiplantae; Streptophyta; Magnoliopsida; Brassicales; Brassicaceae. The record is from RNAcentral.